RNAcentral lists this ribosomal RNA (229 nucleotides) under uncultured bacterium. RNAcentral describes it as "partial 16S ribosomal RNA". It matches the Rfam family "Bacterial small subunit ribosomal RNA", at positions 568 to 796 of the family's 1533-position model. The record is from RNAcentral.
UCCGUAGGCGGGCAAUUAAGUCAGAGGUGAAAUCCCACAGCUCAACUGUUGAACUGCCUUUGAUACUGGUCGUCUUGAGUUAUAGUGAAGUAGAUAGAAUAUGUAGUGUAGCGGUGAAAUGCAUAGAUAUUACAUAGAAUACCGAUUGCGAAGGCAGUCUACUAACUGUACACUGACGCUAAUGGACGAAAGCGUGGGGAGCGAACAGGAUUAGAUACCCUGGUAGUCC